Molecule: non-coding RNA, 457 nt
Organism: Lates calcarifer (barramundi perch)
Lineage: Eukaryota; Metazoa; Chordata; Actinopteri; Centropomidae
Source: the annotation of a RefSeq genome assembly
AUGUCUUCUACCUCUACUUAUCUGACUGCAGAGAGGAUGACAGAGAACAGUGGACACACAGUUUAACAUGAUGGACUAUAGGACAGGACUGCUGCUUUUAACUCUCUGCUGGGCAGGUGUUGAUGGUCAGACUCUGACUGAAUCUGAACCAGUGGUUAAAAGACCUGGAGAAUCCCACAGACUGACCUGUACAACAUCUGGAUUCACAUUCAGCAGCUACGCUAUGGCCUGGGUCAGACAGGCUCCUGGAAAAGGCCUGGAGUGGAUUGCCUGGCAUGAUAGUGGUAGUGGUAGCACCACAUACUACUCUCAGUCAGUCCAAGGCCGGUUUACCAUCUCCAAAGACAACAGCAGACAGCAGGUGUAUCUGCAGAUGAACAGUCUGAAGACUGAAGAUUCUGCUGUUUAUUAUUGUGCUCGAGAGUCACAGUGACUGGAGUUGGUUGAGCAGCUGUAC